AUUGAACGCUGGCGGCAGGCCUAACACAUGCAAGUCGAGCGGUAACAGAUCUAGCUUGCUAGAUGCUGACGAGCGGCGGACGGGUGAGUAACGCGUAGGAAUCUACCUAGUAGUGGGGGAUAGCCAAGGGAAACUUUGGGUAAUACCGCAUACGAUCUAAGGAUGAAAGGGGGGCCUCUCUUUGAAGCUCUCGCUAUUAGAUGAGCCUGCGUAAGAUUAGCUUGUUGGUGGGGUAAUGGCCCACCAAGGCGACGAUCUUUAGCUGGUCUGAGAGGAUGAUCAGUCACACUGGAACUGAGACACGGUCCAG
This 310-nucleotide ribosomal RNA is filed under the name uncultured bacterium. RNAcentral's name for it is "bacterial SSU rRNA". It matches the Rfam family "Bacterial small subunit ribosomal RNA", at positions 30 to 334 of the family's 1533-position model. The record is from RNAcentral.